UUUUGUUUAGAGAAAGAAUUUUGUUUUACCAAAAUUAUUUUUUUUAACUCCUUAGAAUGUGAUACUUAAGAAAAUAAUUUUAGCAUAUUUGGUUGACUAUAAAAAAAAGUAGUACAUUCUAAAAUGACUUAUGUUUGAUUGAGCAUCUAUUUCUUAGAAAAGUUGUGUGAAAUAUUUAUUAUAUCUUUAAUAAAGGAACAAAUCUUAUCCAUAUGUUUUGAUGGAUUAAGAAUAGUUUUGAAAAAAAAAAAUCAAUUUUCAACCGAUGGAAAAAUAGUUUUUCUAUGUCUCUUAUAAAUUUCUUUUUUUCCCAUGAAAUAUAGAAUCUUAUUUCUUUGAAAAUGCUAGUUUCUCACCUAUUUCUUUUGAAAAUUCUAACUAAACAAGAGGUCAUUCUUCAUUUUUUUCAUUGACCAUACUUUUCUCCUCCUUUUUCCACGAACUAAAUAAGUCCUUUUGUUGUUUUUCUCUUCCUUUCCCAAGGCUAAAACACCAAAAAU
This 500-nucleotide long non-coding RNA is filed under the name Phoenix dactylifera (date palm). Its description in RNAcentral is "long non-coding RNA (PDAC_LNC023147)". The record is from RNAcentral. Lineage: Eukaryota; Viridiplantae; Streptophyta; Magnoliopsida; Arecales; Arecaceae.